RNAcentral lists this ribosomal RNA (427 nucleotides) under uncultured bacterium. RNAcentral's name for it is "bacterial SSU rRNA". It matches the Rfam family "Bacterial small subunit ribosomal RNA", at positions 355 to 775 of the family's 1533-position model. The record is from RNAcentral.
UGGGGAAUAUUGGACAAUGGGCGAAAGCCUGAUCCAGCCAUGCCGCGUGAGUGAUGAAGGCCCUCGGGUCGUAAAGCUCUGUGGAGAGGGAAGAAUCCCUGCAGCAUCAGAUCCUACAGGUUGACGGUACCUCUUUAGCAAGCACCGGCUAACUCCGUGCCAGCAGCCGCGGUAAUACGGAGGGUGCAAACGUUGCUCGGAAUCAUUGGGCGUAAAGCGCACGUAGGCGGACUGUUAAGUCGGACGUGAAAUCCCUCAGCUUAACUGAGGAAGUGCAUUCGAAACUGGCAGUCUUGAGUACGGGAGAGGGUCGCGGAAUUCCCGGUGUAGAGGUGAAAUUCGUAGAUAUCGGGAGGAACACCAGUGGCGAAGGCGGCGGCCUGGACCGAUACUGACGCUGAGGUGCGAAAGCGUGGGGAGCAAACAG